This 2989-nucleotide ribosomal RNA is filed under the name Faecalibacterium prausnitzii. RNAcentral's name for it is "bacterial LSU rRNA". It matches the Rfam family "Bacterial large subunit ribosomal RNA". The record is from RNAcentral. Lineage: Bacteria; Bacillati; Bacillota; Clostridia; Eubacteriales; Oscillospiraceae.
UCAAGCGAACAAGGGCGCAGGGCGAAUGCCUUGGCACUGGGAGCCGAUGAAAGACGUGAUAAGCUGCGAUAAGCUUCGGGGAGCUGCAAAUAAGCAUUGAUCCGGAGAUCUCUGAAUGAGGAAACUCACCUGGGUCCAUACUCAGGUACAAUGCACUGAAAUUCAAAAUAGGUGUAUUGAGGGAACCGCCUGAACUGAAACAUCUAAGUAGGGCGAGGAAGAGACAUCAAACGAGAUUCCGUAAGUAGUGGCGAGCGAACGCGGAAGAGGGCAAACCGAGAGUAGAAAUACUUUCGGGGUACGGACUGCUUUUAAGACUCAAUCUGUUAACCGAACGGCAUGGGAAGGCCGGUCAGAGAGUGUGAGAACCACGUAGGUGAAAACGGAGAGAGCUGCGCAGGAUCCAGAGUACGGCCAGACACGUGAAACCUGGUCGGAAUACGGGGGGACCACCCUCCAACCCUAAAUACUACCCAGUGACCGAUAGCGUAUAGUACUGUGAAGGAAAGGUGAAAAGCACCCCGGGAGGGGAGUGAAAAAGAACCUGAAACCCUGUGCCUACAAGCACCUAGAGCGCGUCAAUGCGUGAUAGGGUACUUUUUGUAGAACGGUCCGGCGAGCGAUUGUAUGCAGCAAGGUUAAGGANNNNNNNNNNACGUCAAAGUGUGAUAGGGUACUUUUUGUAGAACGGUCCGGCGAGCGAUUGUAUGCAGCAAGGUUAAGGACUUAAGGUCUGGAGCCGAAGCGAAAGCGAGUUUGAAAAGGGCGUUAAGUUGCAUAUAAUGGGCCCGAAACCGGGUGACCUACCCAUGGUCAGGUUGAAGUGGAAGUAAAAUUCCAUGGAGGACCGAACCGACCUCCGUUGAAAAGGCGGCGGAUGAACUGUGGGUAGCGGAGAAAUUCCAAUCGAACCCGGAGAUAGCUGGUUCUCCCCGAAAUAGUUUUAGGACUAGCCUCAAGUUAGAUACCUGGAGGUAAAGCACUGAAUAGCCUAGCGGCCGAGAGGUUAGCGAAGCUUAUCAAACUCAGAAUGCCAGAGUAUUGAUGCUUGGGAGUCAGACAGUGUCAGAUAAAUGUCAUUGUCAAAAGGGAAACAGCCCAGAUCUACAGCUAAGGUCCCAAAGUCAGGUUAAGUGGAAAACGAUGUGAAGAUACGCAGACAACCAGGAUGUUGGCUCAGAAGCAGCCACUCAUUCAAAGAGUGCGUAAUAGCUCACUGGUCGAGCGUCUUUGCGCGGAGAAUUUAACGGGGCUAAACCUGACACCGAAGCUUAGGCAAUACAGUAAUGUAUUGGGUAGGGGAGCGUUGUAUACGCGGAGAAACAGUAGCGCAAGCGGCUGUGGAGUGUANNNNNNNNNNCAAUGUAUUGGGUAGGGGAGCGUUGUAUACGCGGAGAAACAGUAGCGUAAGCGGCUGUGGAGUGUAUAGAAGUGAGAAUGCCGGAAUGAGUAGCGCGAAUGCAGUGAGAAUCUGCAUGGCCGAAAGCCUCAGGUUUCUGGAGGAAGGUUCGUCCGCUCCAGGUUAGUCGGGAGCUAAGGUGAGGCCGGAAGGCGUAGCCGAUGCACAGACGGUAGAGAUUCCGUCACCACCAAAAGAGUUAAGCACAGGGACACAUAUGAAGUCUCAGAGCCGGGUGUUGGUUCCGGUAGAGAUCGAGGGAAAUUAGUACCGAAGUCUGAGAUGGAAGAUGGCGAGAAAAGCUGUGUGUAUUUCUGAGGUGCCCGUACCGCAAACCGACACAGGUAGGUAGGAAGAAGAUUCUAAGGCCAACGGGAGAAGGGUUGUUAAGGAACUCGGCAAAUUGACCCCGUAACUUCGGGAGAAGGGGUGCUCCAGAGAUGGAGCCGCAGAGAAUCGGCCCAAGCAACUGUUUACCAAAAACACAGGUUUGUGCUAAAUCGAAAGAUGACGUAUACGAGCUGACGCCUGCCCGGUGCUGGAAGGUUAAGAGGAGAUGUGCAAGCAUUGAAUCGAAGCCCCAGUGAACGGCGGCCGUAACUAUAACGGUCCUAAGGUAGCGAAAUUCCUUGUCAGGUAAGUUCUGACCCGCAUGAAAGGCGUAAUGAUUUGGGCACUGUCUCAACAGCCCGCCCGGCGAAAUUGUAGUACCGGUGAAGAUGCCGGUUACCCGCGACAAGACGGAAAGACCCCAUGGAGCUUUACUGUAGCCUAAUAUUGGGUUUCGAUGUUGCAUGCACAGGAUAGAUGGGACUCUUGGAAACCAAGGCUUUGGCUUUGGCGGAGAGGCCGUUGGGAUACCAUCCUUGCGAUAUUGGAAUUCUAACCUGCGGCUCUGAAUCGAGUCGGGGGACAUUGUUAGGUGGGCAGUUUGACUGGGGCGGUCGCCUCCUAAAGAGUAACGGAGGCGUUCAAAGGUUCGCUCAGCUUGAACGGAAAUCAAGCAAAAGAGUGCAAACGCAGAAGCGAGCCUAACUGCGAGACUGACGGGUCGAGCAGUAACGAAAGUUGGAGUUAGUGAUCCGGUGGUAUGUGAGUGGAAAUGCCAUCGCUCAACGGAUAAAAGUUACCCUGGGGAUAACAGGCUGAUCUCCCCCAAGAGUCCACAUCGACGGGGAGGUUUGGCACCUCGAUGUCGGCUCAUCGCAUCCUGGGGCUGUAUUCGGUCCCAAGGGUUUGGCUGUUCGCCAAUUAAAGCGGUACGCGAGCUGGGUUCAGAACGUCGUGAGACAGUUCGGUCCCUAUCUGUCGUGGGCGCAGGAUAUUUGAUGGGAGCUGUCCCUAGUACGAGAGGACCGGGACGGACGUACCUCUGGCGCACCAGUUGUUCCGCCAGGAGCAUAGCUGGGCAACUACGUACGGAUCGGAUAAACGCUGAAAGCAUCUAAGCGUGAAGCCGACCCAAAGAUAAGAUAUCCCACUGAUUCAAUCAGGUAAGAUCCCUUGUAGACUACGAGGUUGAUAGGCACGAUGUGUAAGUGGAGUGAUCCAUUCAGCAAGUGUGUACUAAUAGAUCGAGGGCUUGACCAC